This 505-nucleotide ribosomal RNA is filed under the name uncultured bacterium. RNAcentral describes it as "partial 16S ribosomal RNA". It matches the Rfam family "Bacterial small subunit ribosomal RNA", at positions 28 to 507 of the family's 1533-position model. The record is from RNAcentral.
GACGAACGCUGGCGGCGUGCCUAAUACAUGCAAGUCGAACGCACAGUUUAUACCGUAGCUUGCUACACCAUAGACUGUGAGUUGCGAACGGGUGAGUAACGCGUAGGCAACCUGCCUGGUAGCGGGGGAUAACUAUUGGAAACGAUAGCUAAUACCGCAUAAUAUUAAUUAUUGCAUGAUAAUUAAUUGAAAGGUGCAAUUGCACCACUACCAGAUGGACCUGCGUUGUAUUAGCUAGUAGGUGAGGUAACGGCUCACCUAGGCGACGAUACAUAGCCGACCUGAGAGGGUGAUCGGCCACACUGGGACUGAGACACGGCCCAGACUCCUACGGGAGGCAGCAGUAGGGAAUCUUCGGCAAUGGACGAAAGUCUGACCGAGCAACGCCGCGUGAGUGAAGAAGGUUUUCGGAUCGUAAAGCUCUGUUGUAAGAGAAGAACGGGUGUGAGAGUGGAAAGUUCACACUGUGACGGUAUCUUACCAGAAAGGGACGGCUAACUACGUG